Molecule: ribosomal RNA, 557 nt
Filed under: uncultured archaeon
Lineage: Archaea
Description: bacterial SSU rRNA
Rfam family: Archaeal small subunit ribosomal RNA
Source: RNAcentral
GGGGUGCAGCAGGCGCGAAACCUUUACAAUGCCCGAGAGUGCGAUAAGGGGACUCCGAGUGUAGUCUUCCCACAAGGAAGGCUACUUUUCUGCCCUGUAAGGAGGUGCCGGAACAAGGGGUGGGCAAUACUGCUGCCAGCCGCCGCGGUAAUAGCAGAACCCCAAGUGGUAGUCAUUAUUAUUGGGUUUAAAGUGUUCGUAGCCGGAUCUGCAAGUCCGCUGUGAAAUCCACAUGCUUAACAUGUGGGCGUGCAGCGGAUACUGCAGGUCUAGGAACCGGACGGCGUCGAGGCUAUUCCAAGGGUAGGGGUGAAAUCCUAAAAUCCUUGGAGGAGCACCUGUGGCGAAAGCGCUCGACGAGUACGGAUUCGACGGUGAGGAACGAAAGCUAGGGGAGCAAAGCGGAUUAAAUACCCGCGUAGUCCUAGCUGUAAACAUUGUCUGUUUGAUGUCGGAAAACCUUCGAGGUUUUCCGGUGCCGAAGUGAAAACAAUAAACAAACCACCUGGGUAGUACGGUCGCAAGGCUGAAACUUAAAGGAAUUGGCGGGGGAGCAC